Rosa rugosa (rugosa rose) is the source of this 1048-nucleotide long non-coding RNA. RefSeq lists it as uncharacterized. Lineage: Eukaryota; Viridiplantae; Streptophyta; Magnoliopsida; Rosales; Rosaceae. The transcript is spliced from 3 exons. The record is from RefSeq and is a predicted model, not a curated record.
UUGUGUAUUGUCAUAUUAAUUUGAUCAUUGUUCAUUCUUAAUUGUUACCUAAUCGAUAGAUGCAUGCAUAUAGGGAUAAGUUAGAGAUUUUCAACCUAAGAAUAUGGUCAACUCGCAAUGAUAGAAUACCUAAGAAAGAGGUUGAUAUGAAAAUUCCCAGAAGUGAGGUUAGCUAAACGUACGCGUCUAAUCUUUAGGUUGUAAUUAAAAUAAAAACCUAUUAGAUUGGUUAAAUACUUAAACGUCUACCUUUAAGUCAGGUUGCAAGUAAAUUGAUGAAAAACAAAAAAUCUACCUUUAAUAUAUAAAGUAAAUUACUAAAAAGUAAAUCUCAUAUUCAUUUAAAUCUAUAAAGCCUUUGAAUUUAAAAAAAUAUAUCUCUAUUAAUAAAGCGAAGAGGGUGUUACUGUUCAUCUUGGGGAAACUUUCGAACUUCCAAUUUUGCCCAUGGUUUGGUUGAGGUGGAAGAUAGCAAGGAAGGUUAGAAACGUAAAUGCAGAAAGCAUGGUGAGGUAGUAGAUCAUGGAGAGAGAAAGAGAGGAGACGGACAUGAGGCUUCUGCCGACACUGAGUAAAAAAGAACGAGAAGAGUAUAGGGGGAGAAAGGAAAGAGGAAGAAACAGGAGCCAAAGUUUCAUUAACCGAUAAUUAAGAGAUUGUCUGAUAACUUAAGGAGAGUAGUGAAUUCCACUAUCUCUGAGGAUUUCUUCGACAUAGAGAAAACGAGGAGGUGAAAAAAAAAAAACAAAUCGAGAAGAGAACGUACUGCAGAAGAGGGAAGAAAGGAAAGAUGAAUCGAGAGGAGACGAAGAUAUCAAGGCUAGGCAGUGGAAGAGGCGAGUUUUGCAGUAGAAUCUCAACCAAAACAGGAAGUUCAUAAUAGGAAGUUGCGAUACAAAGCUCCUAGAACUGCUGGAUUGUAGAAAUUGUUGAACAUCGAUGCUCUUUCAAAUAAAGUUCAUGUAUGACGUUAUUGAUUUAAAACAAAUUUGUAUUAGUACAAGCAUAUUGUGCUUCAUUAUAUAUAUAUAUAUAUAUAUGGAACAAC